Molecule: unclassified non-coding RNA, 3309 nt
Filed under: Hevea brasiliensis (rubber tree)
Lineage: Eukaryota; Viridiplantae; Streptophyta; Magnoliopsida; Malpighiales; Euphorbiaceae
Source: RNAcentral
CAAAUAGAAUGAUAGGCACUUAUUAUUAUUUUUACAAAAAUGAUUUAAUGGUGUACCAAGUAACAUCUUAGUAAAUCGGGAAACUUAUCUUUACAUGCCAUGAGAAAUACAAUGAGCUAAAAAACAAAUUUAAAAAUAAUAAUAAUAAUAACAUAACGAAUUCAGAGAACAAUUUUGCUGGAAUCGAAGUACCUCUUAACAUGCAGUUUGAAUUCAGCAGUAGAAAGGGAAUUUAUCCGUAUCAGUGAUGUAUUAAGAAUAGAUUUGUUAUGUUCUCAUCAUAGUGCAGCAAUUUUCAACUUGCUGACUCCAGCAAAAAGAAAAUAUCUACAUAUGGAUGAUAUCAACAUAAUGUAAGAAAAGCCAAAGUUCCCUCCUGCCUCAUUUCCCAUCUGCUAGAGCAAGCACAUUACAUUGCUAAUUCAGUCCUCAUUACAUUGCUAAUUCAGUCCUCGUUCCUUUGGUCAUGUCCAUUAACUUGGUUCUCUACAUUGGCUCCUACAUCUUCUCCAGCCCCAUAGUGAACCCAUGGCAACAUUGACUCGAACAAAACAGCCAAUGCAUGGCGAUUUGCAACAUCACGUGGAGCAGGACCACCAGCAGGUAGAUUGGCAAUUUGGCCUCCAUUUUGCUCAGCUUCCCUCAGCCUUGGAUCAACCAUGAAAUUUUGCAGGUUCUCCGGUGGAAGAGUUGGUACAGUAUCAGAAAAAUCUGAAACCAGCAAAUGGCUAUACUCAUUGUUCUCAGAUGAGAAAGCCUCUUUUCGCACACAAGCCCAAUCCCUAGCUUCACUGCUUUUAUGUUCUAGAGUUUCAAUUACUUGCAAAGCUGCAUCACGAAGCAACUUCUGCAAAUCUGGAAGCCUCCAUAUGAUAUAACUUCUCUCUAUGUAUAUAUUGAUAAGAUGGUCCAAAGAUGGGGACCCCGUUUUCUCUGAUCUAAAAAAAGCAUGCUUUAGCAUAUUGGCCCAUGCCUGAUCUUUUAAAGGUACCUUGUCUACAAGCUUUUUAAGAACAGAAGGGUGAAGCAUCAAUGCCUGCUUCAUCAAAUCUACUGAAGUAGACUUUGUAGCAAGCACAGAAGUAUCCUUUGCAGGUUCCUCUCGCUCAAGAUAAAGUCGGCAUAUUGCAAGGGAAUAUGAGAAAUUUGGAAACAACCAUAAGGAAUUAUCACCUUUAUAGUCUUCUGAAAAUCGUUCCAACCAUGCAUACUCCUCUGCCCUCAAACUAAAGUAGUCAAUACAGAACAACGCCCCCAUUGGAUCAUCUAAAUCCAGUGAAAGCAAUAAUUUGCAUACUUCAAGAGCAGAUCGAUGGCAUCCACGCCUAUCCAUGUUUUUCAUGUGAGUGAAAAGUGUUGUGAAUAUUGGCUUGUUUGUUUCAUGGCUGAUCUUCAACUGGCAAUUGCCUUGCAAGAGGGUGAACAUGGGAUGCCAUGCACAUUCCAAGGCGUACAAACUCUUUGCAAUAGCAUCAGCUGACAUUUGAUGUUCACCCACAAAUUUGAAAUAGUCUGCCAUUGUUAUAAGUGAAUCUAAAUGAUAUGGGUUGUAUAACAAAAUGCUUGCUAUGCCAUUUAGAUCAUGAAUAGCUUUGGCAGCUUCAAAUGCUCUUUGAGCUUGAUCAUAGGAAAAUGAGCGCACAUACCUACAUGAAUAAAACAUAUCUAAAAUUACGAAAGCUAAAUUCAAAGUGAUGAUAUUAAAAACCAACAAGAUAGUAUGCUAACUUAGGAAAAACUAGAAAAGAGGAGAAAUAGAUUCAAGAAAUGGGAGGGGAGAUCAUGUAACAAGCAGAAAUGAGUGAAUGCAAAUACCUUAGCUUUCUUAAAGGUGUAAAGCAGAAAACACUACAAAAGUUUAACUUCAUUAAUGGGGCAGAAGCAAUGAUUCAAUUAAAAAAAAAAAAAAUACCAAAAACCUGGCAACCCAUAUCUGAUGAGCAUAUAUAGAGAACCCUAAAAAAUACAAAAGAAACCAAACUCCUAAGUCCAAAUCAGCCUGAGAAUCCAAAAAGGAAGAAUGGAGAGAUCACACACAUAAGAAAAAAUAAAAUUUCAAUAAAACAAAUCCAGUGCACAGUUGGCAUUCUCACCUCUUCACACGCAUUGCAAUCUGACCAGAAUAUAAACCGCUCGAAUUUUUUUUUUCACCAAAUGUCUUUUUCGCACAUGGAAGAUCAAUUGGAUGUCAAAUAUAUACAAUGUUAAAUUUUAGGGCACGUGGCAAAUAGAAUCUAUAACUGAUAACAGCAAUGUUAUAACUAUUUCUCAACUUCAGAACAUGGACAUACUCCUGCGAAAGCAUGAGAAAUAAAGGAAACAUCCCAGGAAAUAAAGCAGUGAAGUGGGAAAUUCCCAACAGUAUCAAGCAAUAAAGGAUAUUUCUUUUACCUAAAAUGAUGAUAUCCAUCCCUAGUCUCCAAAAAUUCCAUAGAUAGAGAUCCAUCCCAGCGAGGCCAAUGUUCUGAUGGAGAGACUAGAAUAGUCUUUCUGGUAUGAUGGCUUCCACGUCUUGCCCCACGAACCUGCCUAGAACUGCUGGCUUGAUUACUUCUCUCAAAAGAUUUCACCACCUUAGAACCAAAAAUUCUUCGCAACUCGUUCUCAGGAUUUAGACAUUUGGGAUCCACUUGUAGGAUGGAUGGCGCACAUUGCUUAGUAAACUCUUCACGAAGUUUUGCAUUUUCUAGUCCGGUUUUGACAGGGUCAGGUUGAUUUCUUGAAGAAUUAACAUCCAAGGACACAGUUUCUAGUGCCUCAUCCAAUAGUUUUUCACCUUUAUUUGUACUUGAAGAUGGGGCUGCCUUGUUUUUCUUCUUCUUCUUUUUCUUGGAUUUCUGACUGGAUGAUGACACUACACUAGCCAAGCUUUCCGUCGCAGAGGGUUCUUGUUUGUAAUUGUUUCCCAUCAAGGAUUCAUCAGUAAUUUCUGACUCAUUCUCCUGAUCAGAGUCAUCGUCGUUAAGGAGGUCGAAAGGAUUUAUGGCAGGGAGACUGGACGAAUCAGAAGAUUCUGCUUCCUCUUCUACUUCGUGGUGCUGCAGCUGGCGCUCCUGUUCUUUCAAGACUUUCUUCAGCAACCUAGCUGACAUUAUUUUUAUACGUGAAAUUAUCAACUUCAGAAUCGGUGCAGAAGGACGAGAAUAUAAGCUCUGAUAGGUUGGAUGGAUUCUUGGUUUCUAAACGGGAAAAGUAAGUUAAAACAAGAGCAAUUGCUUCGUCGAUGGCGUGAUGAUGGUGGCGGUGAAGACUGAACUCUGGAGAGAUGGCGUUCAGCUGAUCUCGAGCAUUGGUUGCCUAAAAGCUGUG